RNAcentral lists this ribosomal RNA (268 nucleotides) under uncultured Leptolinea sp. RNAcentral describes it as "partial 16S ribosomal RNA". It matches the Rfam family "Bacterial small subunit ribosomal RNA", at positions 1100 to 1382 of the family's 1533-position model. Lineage: Bacteria; Bacillati; Chloroflexota; Anaerolineae; Anaerolineales; Anaerolineaceae. The record is from RNAcentral.
AACCCUCGUCGUAUGUUAUAUGUGUCACACGGGGACUGCCGGUCUUAAGCCGGAGGAAGUGGGGAUGAUGUCAAGUCAGCAUGGCCUUUAUAUCCUGGGCUACACACACGCUACAAUGGCCAACACAAUAGGUUGCUAAGCCGCGAGGUGGCGCCAAUCCAUAAAGUUGGUCUCAGUUCAGAUUGUAGGCUGCAACCCGCCUGCAUGAAGAUGGAGUUGCUAGUAACCGCAGGUCAGCUAUACUGCGGUGAAUACGUUCCCGGGGCUU